AUCCUCCGCAUUGUUGUGAGCAAACUUCGGUUUGCGAAAACUCCGGCUCAAUAAGGGCUUGUUGGACGGCGGUUCGAUUCCGCCCAUCUCCACCAUAAGUGCAGUGAUAGCAGUGUGCUUAUGAUGGGGAUGACCUGGUUUCGACAGUGAGCAGAUAGGUUUCGGGGCGACACGUCAGGCGAUCGACGUAAAUGAAGCAAGCAUGUAAAUGCAAACGAUGAAAACUUCGCUAUGGCGGCCUAAAAAACCGUAAGCCGGGGCUGUUGAGCCUUGUCAUACAACACAACUAGAUGAGCCUCGGGUGAUAAUGAUCCCGAGGCUCA
This 323-nucleotide transfer-messenger RNA is filed under the name Gallionellaceae bacterium. It matches the Rfam family "Betaproteobacteria transfer-messenger RNA". Rfam says of the family: Bacterial tmRNA, also known as 10Sa RNA or SsrA, is named for its dual tRNA and mRNA-like properties. The record is from RNAcentral. Lineage: Bacteria; Pseudomonadati; Pseudomonadota; Betaproteobacteria; Nitrosomonadales; Gallionellaceae.